Molecule: ribosomal RNA, 499 nt
Filed under: Methylophaga sp. ME07
Lineage: Bacteria; Pseudomonadati; Pseudomonadota; Gammaproteobacteria; Thiotrichales; Piscirickettsiaceae
Description: bacterial SSU rRNA
Rfam family: Bacterial small subunit ribosomal RNA
Source: RNAcentral
CUUCGGGUUGUAAGCACUUUAAGUUGGGAGGAAAAGCUGAGGGUUAAUAGCCUUUAGUGUUGACGUUACCAACAGAAUAAGCACCGGCUAACUCCGUGCCAGCAGCCGCGGUAAUACGGAGGGUGCAAGCGUUAAUCGGAAUUACUGGGCGUAAAGCGCGCGUAGGCGGUUUGUUAAGUCAGAUGUGAAAUCCCCGGGCUCAACCUGGGAAUGGCAUUUGAGACUGGCAGGCUAGAGUAUGGUAGAGGUGAGUGGAAUUUCAGGUGUAGCGGUGAAAUGCGUAGAGAUCUGAAGGAACAUCAGUGGCGAAGGCGACUCACUGGGCCAUUACUGACGCUGAGGUGCGAAAGCGUGGGUAGCAAACAGGAUUAGAUACCCUGGUAGUCCACGCCCUAAACGAUGUCAACUAGGUGUAUGGAGAAUUUAUUCUUUGUGUAUCGAAGCUAACGCGAUAAGUUGACCGCCUGGGGAGUACGGUCGCAAGACUAAAACUCAAAGA